This 500-nucleotide ribosomal RNA is filed under the name uncultured bacterium. RNAcentral describes it as "partial 16S ribosomal RNA". It matches the Rfam family "Bacterial small subunit ribosomal RNA", at positions 29 to 523 of the family's 1533-position model. The record is from RNAcentral.
AGCGAACGCUGGCGGCAGGCUUAACACAUGCAAGUCGAACGGCAGCACGGACUUCGGUCUGGUGGCGAGUGGCGAACGGGCGAGCAAUACAUCGGAACGUGCCCAGUUGUGGGGGAUAACUACUCGAAAGAGUAGCUAAUAUCGCAUGAGAACUGAGGUUGAAAGCAGGGGAUCGUAAGACCUUGCGCAACUGGAGCGGCCGAUGGCAGAUUAGGUAGUUGGUGGGAUAAAAGCUUACCAAGCCGACGAUCUGUAGCUGGUCUGAGAGGACGACCAGCCACACUGGGACUGAGACACGGCCCAGACUCCUACGGGAGGCAGCAGUGGGGAAUUUUGGACAAUGGGCGAAAGCCUGAUCCAGCAAUGCCGCGUGCAGGAUGAAGGCCUUCGGGUUGUAAACUGCUUUUGUACGGAACGAAAAGCUUCGGGUUAAUACCCUGGAGUCAUGACGGUACCGUAAGAAUAAGCACCGGCUAACUACGUGCCAGCCGCCGCAGUAA